RNAcentral lists this ribosomal RNA (752 nucleotides) under uncultured gamma proteobacterium TK75. Its description in RNAcentral is "bacterial SSU rRNA". It matches the Rfam family "Bacterial small subunit ribosomal RNA", at positions 609 to 1361 of the family's 1533-position model. The record is from RNAcentral. Lineage: Bacteria; Pseudomonadati; Pseudomonadota; Gammaproteobacteria.
UCAACCUUGGAAUUGAAUUUNAUAUUGGNAAGCUUGAGUCUCGUAGAGGGGGGUAGUAUUCUAGGUGUAGCGGUGAAAUGCGUAGAGAUUUGGAGGAAUAUGGUUGGCGAAGCGGCCCCUUUGGACGAAGAUUGAUGCUUAAGGUCAGAAACGUGGGGAGCAAAAAGGAUUAGAUACUUUGGUAGUCCACGCUGUAACCGAUGUCGAUUUGAAGUUUGUCCCUUUUGAGCGGUGCUUACGGGAAUUACCGGUUAAGCGGACCGCUUGGGGAGUACGGUCGCAAGGUUAAAACUCAAAUGAAUUGACGGGGCCCUCAACAAACGGUGGAGCAUGUGGUUUAAUUCGAUGCAACGCGAAGAACUUUACCUGGUCUUGACAUCCACGGCAGUUUACAGAGAUGAGAAUGUGCCGUCGGGAACCGUGAGACAGGUGCUGCAUGGCUGUCGUCAGCUCGUGUUGUGAAAUGUUGGGUUAAGUCCUGCAACGAGCGCAACCCUUAUCCUUUGUUGCCAGCGGUCCGGCCGGGAACUCAAAGGAGACUGCCAGUGAUAAACUGGAGGAAGGUGGGGAUGACGUCAAGUCAUCAUGGCCCUUACGACGAGGGCUACACACGUGCUACAAUGGCGCAUACAAAGAGAAGCGACCUCGCGAGAGCAACCGAACCUCAUAAAGUGCGCCGUAGUCCGGAUUGGAGUCUGCAACUCGACUCCUUGAAGCCGUAAUCGCUAGUAAUCGUGAAUCAGAAUGCGACG